UACGGGGGGGGCAAGCGUUGUUCGGAAUUACUGGGCGUAAAGGGCGCGUAGGCGGUUGGAUAAGUCAGCUGUGAAAACCACGGGCUUAACUCGUGGCCUGCAGUUGAGACUGUCUGGCUUGAGUGUGGGAGAGGAGAGUGGAAUUCCUGGUGUAGCGGUGAAAUGCGUAGAUAUUUGGAGGAACACCAAUGGCGAAGGCAGCCCCCUGGGUUAACACUGACGCUCAUGCACGAAAGCGUGGGGAGCAAACAGG
This 253-nucleotide ribosomal RNA is filed under the name uncultured bacterium. RNAcentral describes it as "partial 16S ribosomal RNA". It matches the Rfam family "Bacterial small subunit ribosomal RNA", at positions 524 to 776 of the family's 1533-position model. The record is from RNAcentral.